ACCUCUCCGGCACAGGCCUUCGUAAUGCGGGGGUCACAGGUUCGAGUCCUGUAAGCGGCACCA
RNAcentral lists this transfer RNA (63 nucleotides) under Sphingomonas endophytica. RNAcentral describes it as "tRNA-OTHER". The record is from RNAcentral. Lineage: Bacteria; Pseudomonadati; Pseudomonadota; Alphaproteobacteria; Sphingomonadales; Sphingomonadaceae.